RNAcentral lists this ribosomal RNA (889 nucleotides) under Cimbex americana (elm sawfly). RNAcentral describes it as "SSU rRNA". It matches the Rfam family "Eukaryotic small subunit ribosomal RNA", at positions 594 to 1420 of the family's 1831-position model. The record is from RNAcentral. Lineage: Eukaryota; Metazoa; Arthropoda; Insecta; Hymenoptera; Cimbicidae.
AUAGCGUAUAUUAAAGUUGUUGCGGUUAAAAAGCUCGUAGUUGAAUCUGUGUGCCACGCUGUCGGUUCACCGCUCGCGGUGUUUAACUGGCAUGAUUGUGGGACGUCCUACCGGUGGGCUUAGCUCCUUUGGGGCGGCCCAACUAAUAUCCCAUCGCGGUGCUCUUCGUUGAGUGUCGAGGUGGGCCGGUACGUUUACUUUGAACAAAUUAGAGUGCUUAAAGCAGGCUAGUUUCGCCUGAAUACUGUGUGCAUGGAAUAAUGGAAUAGGACCUCGGUUCUAUUUUGUUGGUUUUCGGAACCCCGAGGUAAUGAUUAACAGGGACAGAUGGGGGCAUUCGUAUUGCGACGUUAGAGGUGAAAUUCUUGGAUCGUCGCAAGACGGACAGAAGCGAAAGCAUUUGCCAAAAAUGUUUUCUUUAAUCAAGAACGAAAGUUAGAGGUUCGAAGGCGAUCAGAUACCGCCCUAGUUCUAACCAUAAACGAUGCCAGCUAGCGAUCCGCCGAAGUUCCUCCGAUGACUCGGCGGGCAGCUUCCGGGAAACCAAAGCUUUUGGGUUCCGGGGGAAGUAUGGUUGCAAAGCUGAAACUUAAAGGAAUUGACGGAAGGGCACCACCAGGAGUGGAGCCUGCGGCUUAAUUUGACUCAACACGGGAAACCUCACCAGGCCCGGACACCGGAAGGAUUGACAGAUUGAGAGCUCUUUCUUGAUUCGGUGGGUGGUGGUGCAUGGCCGUUCUUAGUUGGUGGAGCGAUUUGUCUGGUUAAUUCCGAUAACGAACGAGACUCUAGCCUGCUAAAUAGGCGUACUUUCCGGUAUCUCGAAGGCCCCCGGCUUCGGUCGGGCGGUUUUUACUACCGGCGUACAAAUAAAUCUUCUUAGAGGGAC